Molecule: ribosomal RNA, 550 nt
Filed under: uncultured bacterium
Lineage: Bacteria
Description: bacterial SSU rRNA
Rfam family: Bacterial small subunit ribosomal RNA
Source: RNAcentral
UAGGGAAUCUUCCGCAAUGGACGAAAGUCUGACGGAGCAACGCCGCGUGAGUGAUGAAGGUUUUCGGAUCGUAAAACUCUGUUGUUAGGGAAGAACAAGUACAAGAGUAACUGCUUGUACCUUGACGGUACCUAACCAGAAAGCCACGGCUAACUACGUGCCAGCAGCCGCGGUAAUACGUAGGUGGCAAGCGUUGUCCGAAAUUAUUGGGCGUAAAGCGCGCGCAGGCGGUCCUUUAAGUCUGAUGUGAAAGCCCACGGCUCAACCGUGGAGGGUCAUUGGAAACUGGGGGACUUGAGUGCAGAAGAGAAGAGUGGAAUUCCACGUGUAGCGGUGAAAUGCGUAGAGAUGUGGAGGAACACCAGUGGCGAAGGCGACUCUUUGGUCUGUAACUGACGCUGAGGCGCGAAAGCGUGGGGAGCAAACAGGAUUAGAUACCCUGGUAGUCCACGCCGUAAACGAUGAGUGCUAAGUGUUAGAGGGUUUCCGCCCUUUAGUGCUGCAGCAAACGCAUUAAGCACUCCGCCUGGGGAGUACGGCCGCAAGGCUG